Molecule: long non-coding RNA, 290 nt
Organism: Lutra lutra (Eurasian river otter)
Lineage: Eukaryota; Metazoa; Chordata; Mammalia; Carnivora; Mustelidae
Exons: 3
Source: RefSeq, a predicted model, not a curated record
GGAAGUUUAAGAGCUCAGGACUUUGGGCCAGGGAUGGGGCUCCCACUGGCCCCCACCUCACCCUGGGCUCUCAGAGGGUGUGGGGCACAUGGGAUCACUCUGCACUACAGAUAAGGAAACUGAGGCCCAGAGGGAAGUGACCCAUCUGUGUUCACACCACUGUCAGAAGGAAAGGCUCUCAGGGCCCCAGAGCAGGGCAGAGAUCCAGAAGGAUGUCUGGACGCAGAGUAAUGCUCAGUGGGUAAUUACUGGCAGAUGCGGUGCUCAGCCCGGCAGAUCCCUGCUGCCAG